UGCAAGUGUUCCUUGUGCUAAGGUGCAUCUAGUGCAGUUAGUGAAGUAGCUUAGAAUCUACUGCCCUAAAUGCUCCUUCUGGCACAAGCUGCUGACUGCACAUCUUGG
This 108-nucleotide microRNA precursor is filed under the name Pelodiscus sinensis (Chinese soft-shelled turtle). RNAcentral describes it as "miRNA (ENSPSIG00000020073.1)". The stretch from base 9 to 91 matches the Rfam family "mir-17 microRNA precursor family". From Rfam's summary of the family: This family represents the microRNA (miRNA) precursor mir-17, family, which includes mir-20, mir-91, and mir-103. miRNAs are transcribed as ~70nt precursors (modelled here) and subsequently processed by the Dicer enzyme to give a ~22nt product. In this case the mature sequence comes from the 3' arm of the precursor. The extents of the hairpin precursors are not generally known and are estimated based on hairpin prediction. Lineage: Eukaryota; Metazoa; Chordata; Testudines; Trionychidae. The record is from RNAcentral.